Molecule: ribosomal RNA, 503 nt
Filed under: uncultured bacterium
Lineage: Bacteria
Description: partial 16S ribosomal RNA
Rfam family: Bacterial small subunit ribosomal RNA
Source: RNAcentral
AUUGAACGCUGGCGGCAGGCUUAACACAUGCAAGUCGAGCGGGGUGAUGGUGCUUGCACUAUCACUUAGCGGCGGACGGGUGAGUAAUGCUUAGGAAUCUGCCUAUUAGUGGGGGACAACAUCUCGAAAGGGAUGCUAAUACCGCAUACGUCCUACGGGAGAAAGCAGGGGAUCACUUGUGACCUUGCGCUAAUAGAUGAGCCUAAGUCGGAUUAGCUAGUUGGUGGGGUAAAGGCCUACCAAGGCGACGAUCUGUAGCGGGUCUGAGAGGAUGAUGCGCCACACUGGGACUGAGAGACGGCCAAGACUCCGACGGGAGGCAGAGGUGGGGAAUAUUGGACAAGGGGGGGAACCCUGAUCCAGCCAUGCCGCGUGUGUGAAGAGGGCCUUAUGGUUGUAAAGCACUUUAAGCGAGGAGGAGGCUCUUUUGGUUAAUACCCAAGAUGAGUGGACGUUACUCGCAGAAUAAGCACCGGCUAACUCUGUGCCAGCAGCCGCGGUAA